AGAUACUGAGAGACAACUGUAUACUAAAAUUGGAAUGAUACAGAAAAGAUUAGGGUGGCCCCUGGGCAAGAAUGACUUGCAGAUGUAUGAAGAACGUAAGCAAGGACUUU
Small nuclear RNA from Cynocephalus volans (Philippine flying lemur), 110 nucleotides. The record is from RefSeq and is a predicted model, not a curated record. Lineage: Eukaryota; Metazoa; Chordata; Mammalia; Dermoptera; Cynocephalidae.